This 160-nucleotide non-coding RNA is filed under the name unclassified sequences. RNAcentral describes it as "Clostridiales-1 RNA". It matches the Rfam family "Clostridiales-1 RNA". The record is from RNAcentral. RNAcentral also lists the same sequence under 1 other name.
UAUAAUAAACUCACCCAUAGAAAGUCCACAUGACUGCUUGCAGGCAAGGUGUACUUUCUAUGAGGGGAGUAAACAGACAUGAACAAGUAGGACGGUAGUCCGGAUUGUGAAUGUCUGUUACGAUUUCGAGAGUGCGAUAGCACGGAGAAAUCGUAUUAUA